RNAcentral lists this ribosomal RNA (781 nucleotides) under marine metagenome. Its description in RNAcentral is "bacterial SSU rRNA". It matches the Rfam family "Bacterial small subunit ribosomal RNA", at positions 8 to 821 of the family's 1533-position model. The record is from RNAcentral.
AGAGUUUGAUCCUGGCUCAGAGCGAACGCUGGCGGCAGGCUUAACACAUGCAAGUCGAACGAUAAGCUAGACUUCGGUUUAGUGGACAGUGGCAGACGGGUGAGUAACGCGUGGGAAUCUACCUUUGAGUGGGGAAUAACAAUUAGAAAUGAUUGCUAAUACCGCAUACACCCUCCGGGGGAAAGGCUUCGGCCGCUCUUAGAUGAGCCCGCGUACGAUUAGUUUGUUGGUGAGGUAAAGGCUCACCAAGACUACGAUCGUUAGCUGGUUUGAGAGGAUGAUCAGCCACACUGGGACUGAGACACGGCCCAGACUCCUACGGGAGGCAGCAGUGGGGAAUAUUGGACAAUGGGCGAAAGCCUGAUCCAGCCAUGCCGCGUGAGUGAAGAAGGCCUUAGGGUUGUAAAACUCUUUCGACAGGGAAGAUAAUGACGGUACCUGUAUAAGAAGCUCCGGCUAACUCCGUGCCAGCAGCCGCGGUAAUACGGAGGGGGCAAGCGUUGCUCGGAAUUACUGGGCGUAAAGCGAGCGUAGGCGGUUAGUCAAGUUGGUGGUGAAAGCCCGGAGCUCAACUCCGGAACUGCCAUCAAAACUGGUUUACUAGAGAUUGGUAGAGGAAAAUGGAAUUCCUAGUGUAGAGGUGAAAUUCGUAGAUAUUGGGAAGAACAUCGGUGGCGAAGGCGAUUUUCUGGGCCAUAUCUGACGCUGAGGUUCGAAAGCGUGGGUAGCAAACAGGAUUAGAAACCCUGGUAGUCCACGCCGUAAACGAUGAGUGCUAGAC